RNAcentral lists this microRNA (20 nucleotides) under Gallus gallus (chicken). RNAcentral describes it as "gga-miR-1623". The record is from miRBase by way of RNAcentral. Lineage: Eukaryota; Metazoa; Chordata; Aves; Galliformes; Phasianidae.
GCAGGCACAGACAGGCAGUA